Ruditapes philippinarum (Manila clam) is the source of this 903-nucleotide long non-coding RNA. RefSeq lists it as uncharacterized. The record is from RefSeq and is a predicted model, not a curated record. Lineage: Eukaryota; Metazoa; Mollusca; Bivalvia; Venerida; Veneridae. The transcript has 3 exons.
UUUGAUUAGUUUAUGUGUUUUUCAAUUAUUUUGCAAAAUAAAGGAAUUAGAAUAAUGUAGAUGAUGAACAAUGAACGUCUGUCAAAAAAGCAACGUUCGCAAAAAAACUGUCCAUCAACUCGGUUAUUGUGUGAUUAUGUAUUGGGUGGGGAUUCAAAGUUAGUGUUAAACUUGGUACUUUCUGGUUUUACAGGUGGUUUCUUAAGUUUUGAAGCCAUAACCAGAAAUUUUAUUGAAAAAAGGUUGCUAACGUAAUUUCUGUCAAUUUUAGUGAAUGACGUUCGCACAUUUGUUCCUCAGUUUAUAGCUGUUACUUCCUUUUUUUGCGUAGUGACAAGAAACUACGAUUAAAUCUGUAAGUAUCCGAAUGCAAAAACAUGGCCGAAUUGAGACGCUCAAUUACAUGAUCCAAAUUAUUUUGAUGACUCGAAGCAUUUGAAGACUUGUGGCGAUGAUUUGGCGGACAGUUUGAUUGAAGACAUUGGUAUACCUGCUUCCAAGCAAAGUGACUCGAAGCAAUUGAAGACUUGUGGCGAUGAUUUGGCGGACAGUUUGAUUGAAGACAUUGGCAUACCUGCUACCAAGCUAAGGUAAACUAUGAAUAGUAAAUGAAACAAUUUCUCUUUGUAUACCCACCCUAUAAAAUGCCGGGCAUGAUGGCGCGGUGGUAAGUGCACUUGUUUUUCAUUUUGAGAGUUGUAGCUUUGAUUCUCGGUCAGGCCAUUUCUCUCUGACCAAUUGAUAAAAGUCCUUGUGUCUUAAGUCUUUAGUCUCGCACCUCUGUUUCAAGUGAGGCAGAAAAAGAGGUAAUAUGUCUAAAAUGAUAUGGAGAGUGUGUGCACAAGUUAAUUUUUGAAUCAGUUUUUAAAGGCAUGGUUAUCAGUUUUUAAAGGUCUACAUUUC